This 442-nucleotide ribosomal RNA is filed under the name uncultured Acholeplasma sp. Its description in RNAcentral is "bacterial SSU rRNA". It matches the Rfam family "Bacterial small subunit ribosomal RNA", at positions 933 to 1382 of the family's 1533-position model. The record is from RNAcentral. Lineage: Bacteria; Bacillati; Mycoplasmatota; Mollicutes; Acholeplasmatales; Acholeplasmataceae.
UGGAUCAUGUGUUUAAUUCGAUGAUACGCGAAGAACUUACCAGGUCUUGACAUCCCCUGCAAAGCUAUGGAGACAUAGUGGAGGUUAUCAGGGAGACAGGUGGUGCAUGGUUGUCGUCAGCUCGUGUCGUGAGAUGUUGGGUUAAGUCCCGCAACGAGCGCAACCCUUAUUGCUAGUUACCAUCAUUGAGUUGGGGACUCUAGCGAGACUGCCAGUGAUAAACUGGAGGAAGGUGGGGAUGACGUCAAAUCAUCAUGCCCCUUAUGACCUGGGCUACAAACGUGAUACAAUGGCUGAAACAAAGGGCAGCGAAGCAGUGAUGUGGAGCGAAACCCAAAAAAGCAGUCUCAGUUCGGAUUGAAGUCUGCAACUCGACUUCAUGAAGUCGGAAUCGCUAGUAAUCGCGGAUCAGAACGCCGCGGUGAAUACGUUCUCGGGGUUU